AUACGGAGGGUGCAAGCGUUGUUCGGAAUUAUUGGGCGUAAAGAGCAUGUAGGCGGUUCGUUAAGUCUGAUGUGAAAGCCCGGGGCUCAACCCCGGAAGUGCAUUGGAUACUGGCAGACUUGAGUAUGGGAGAGGAAAGCGGAAUUCCGAGUGUAGGAGUGAAAUCCGUAGAUAUUCGGAGGAACACCAGUGGCGAAGGCGGCUUUCUGGACCAAUACUGACGCUGAGAUGCGAAAGCGUGGGGAGCAAACAGGAUUAGAAACCCCAGUAGUCC
RNAcentral lists this ribosomal RNA (274 nucleotides) under uncultured bacterium. RNAcentral describes it as "partial 16S ribosomal RNA". It matches the Rfam family "Bacterial small subunit ribosomal RNA", at positions 523 to 796 of the family's 1533-position model. The record is from RNAcentral.